GACGAACGCUGGCGGCGUGCUUAACACAUGCAAGUCGAACGGAAAGGCCCUGCUUGCAGGGUACUCGAGUGGCGAACGGGUGAGUAACACGUGGGUGAUCUGCCUUGCACUUCGGGAUAAGCCUGGGAAACUGGGUCUAAUACCGGAUAGGAGCCAUUUUUAGUGUGAUGGUUGGAAAGUUUUUUCGGUGUAGGAUGAGCUCGCGGCCUAUCAGCUUGUUGGUGGGGUAAUGGCCUACCAAGGCGGCGACGGGUAGCCGGCCUGAGAGGGUGGACGGCCACAUUGGGACUGAGAUACGGCCCAGACUCCUACGGGAGGCAGCAGUGGGGAAUAUUGCACAAUGGGCGCAAGCCUGAUGCAGCGACGCCGCGUGGGGGAGGACGGCCUUCGGGUUGUAAACUCCUUUCGCUAGGGACGAAGCUUUUUGUGACGGUACCUAGAGAAGAAGCACCGGCUAACUACGUG
Molecule: ribosomal RNA, 465 nt
Filed under: uncultured bacterium
Lineage: Bacteria
Description: partial 16S ribosomal RNA
Rfam family: Bacterial small subunit ribosomal RNA
Source: RNAcentral